GAAGCAUGCUGCUGCUAUACAUGCAAGUCGAGCGAAUGGAUUAAGAGCUUGCUCUUAUGAAGUUAGCGGCGGACGGGUGAGUAACACGUGGGUAACCUGCCCAUAAGACUGGGAUAACUCCGGGAAACCGGGGCUAAUACCGGAUAACAUUUUGAACCGCAUGGUUCGAAAUUGAAAGGCGGCUUCGGCUGUCACUUAUGGAUGGACCCGCGUCGCAUUAGCUAGUUGGUGAGGUAACGGCUCACCAAGGCAACGAUGCGUAGCCGACCUGAGAGGGUGAUCGGCCACACUGGGACUGAGACACGGCCCAGACUCCUACGGGAGGCAGCAGUAGGGAAUCUUCCGCAAUGGACGAAAGUCUGACGGAGCAACGCCGCGUGAGUGAUGAAGGCUUUCGGGUCGUAAAACUCUGUUGUUAGGGAAGAACAAGUGCUAGUUGAAUAAGCUGGCACCUUGACGGUACCUAACCAGAAAGCCACGGCUAACUACGUGCCAGCAGCCGCGGUAAUACGUAGGUGGCAAGCGUUAUCCGGAAUUAUUGGGCGUAAAGCGCGCGCAGG
RNAcentral lists this ribosomal RNA (560 nucleotides) under Bacillus sp. (in: firmicutes). Its description in RNAcentral is "bacterial SSU rRNA". It matches the Rfam family "Bacterial small subunit ribosomal RNA", at positions 39 to 575 of the family's 1533-position model. Lineage: Bacteria; Bacillati; Bacillota; Bacilli; Caryophanales; Bacillaceae. The record is from RNAcentral.